Molecule: ribosomal RNA, 332 nt
Filed under: uncultured bacterium
Lineage: Bacteria
Description: partial 16S ribosomal RNA
Rfam family: Bacterial small subunit ribosomal RNA
Source: RNAcentral
GACGAACGCUGGCGGCAGGCUUAACACAUGCAAGUCGAGCGCCCCCGCAAGGGGGAGCGGCGGACGGGUGAGUAACGCGUGGGAAUCUGCCCUUUGGUGUGGGACAACCACGGGAAACUGUGGCUAAUACCGCAUGAGCCCGAGAGGGGAAAGCCGCAAGGCGCCGAGGGAUGAGCCCGCGUCGGAUUAGCUAGUUGGUAGGGUGACGGCCUACCAAGGCGAUGAUCCGUAGCUGGUCGAGAGGAUGAUCAGCCACACUGGGACUGAGACACGGCCCAGACUCCUACGGGAGGCAGCAGGUGGGAAUCUUGGACAAGUGGGCGCAAGCCUGA